This 253-nucleotide ribosomal RNA is filed under the name uncultured bacterium. RNAcentral's name for it is "partial 16S ribosomal RNA". It matches the Rfam family "Bacterial small subunit ribosomal RNA", at positions 524 to 776 of the family's 1533-position model. The record is from RNAcentral.
UACGAAGGGGGCUAGCGUUGCUCGGAAUUACUGGGCGUAAAGGGAGCGUAGGCGGACAUUUAAGUCAGGGGUGAAAUCCCGGAGCUCAACUCCGGAACUGCCUUUGAUACUGGCAAGCUAGAGUCCGGAAGAGGUAAGUGGAACUCCUAGUGUAGAGGUGGAAUUCGUAGAUAUUAGGAAGAACACCAGUGGCGAAGGCGACAUACUGGCUCAUUACUGACGCUGAGGCUCGAAAGCGUGGGGAGCAAACAGG